AACCAGUACCUCAAGUGGUCAGGAUGAUUAUUGGGCCUAAAGCAUCCGUAGUCGGCUCUGUAAGUUUUCGGUUAAAUCUAUGCGCUCAACGUAUGGGCUGCCGAAAAUACUGUAGAGAUAGGGAGUGGGAGAGGUAGACGGUACUCGGUAGGAAGGGGUAAAAUCCUUUGAUCUAUCGAUGACCACCUGUGGCGAAGGCGGUCUACCAGAACACGUUCGACGGUGAGGGAUGAAAGCUGGGAGCAAAUCGG
Molecule: ribosomal RNA, 251 nt
Filed under: uncultured archaeon
Lineage: Archaea
Description: partial 16S ribosomal RNA
Rfam family: Archaeal small subunit ribosomal RNA
Source: RNAcentral